This 219-nucleotide long non-coding RNA is filed under the name Physcomitrium patens. Its description in RNAcentral is "long non-coding RNA (PPAT_LNC003421)". Lineage: Eukaryota; Viridiplantae; Streptophyta; Bryopsida; Funariales; Funariaceae. The record is from RNAcentral.
AGAGGUUGUUUAAAAGGAUUACUAUUAGAAUUUGUAUAACUUUAUUUUUUUUUGAUAGUGACUUUUGAAGUUGGUUUUAUUGCUAGUAAUUUUAUACAUUGAGAGUCACCUUUAUUAGACAUUGGUGACCCUUAAAGUUUUAUUUUGAUUCUUUAAUUUGAUGUUUAAGGCAUAUAAUAUGUAAAUAUUUAUAUGAAAAAGAAUUGAAGAGGGAUUUUG